Molecule: ribosomal RNA, 253 nt
Filed under: uncultured bacterium
Lineage: Bacteria
Description: partial 16S ribosomal RNA
Rfam family: Bacterial small subunit ribosomal RNA
Source: RNAcentral
UACGUAGGUGACAAGCGUUGUCCGGAUUUACUGGGCGUAAAGAGCGCGCAGGCGGUCGUUCAAGUCGAGUGUGAAAGCCCCCGGCUCAACUGGGGAGGGUCACUCGAUACUGAUCGACUCGAAGGCAGGAGAGGGAAGUGGAAUUCCCGGUGUAGUGGUGAAAUGCGUAGAUAUGCGGAGGAACACCAGUGGCGAAGGCGGCCACCUGGACCGUCCCUGACGCUCAAACACGAAAGCUAGGGUAGCGAACGGG